GCUGGGUGUGGUGGUGCAUGCCUGUAAUCCCAGUGACUCAGGAGGUUGAAGCAGGAGGAUUUCAAAUUCGAAGCCAGUCCCGGCAACUUAAUGAGGCCCUAAGCAAUUUAGGGAGACCCUGCCUCAA
This 127-nucleotide small RNA is filed under the name Marmota monax (woodchuck). Lineage: Eukaryota; Metazoa; Chordata; Mammalia; Rodentia; Sciuridae. The record is from RNAcentral.